UGCAGCACGUUUGAUUAUGCGUAUCAUGCUACCAGAAUCAGAGCCUGGUGAAAGCUCAUCGUCCCUCUCUGGCUUAGCAUUCAGGUCAAAUUCACCUUUAAAUGGUGAAGCAGAAGAUUUCUUCUCAGUAAGGUAAUUGGGAUCAUCAACAGAAGAUUUCCUCUCAUCCACGUAGUUGGGAUCAUCAACAGAAGAUUUCUUCUCAGUCAGGCAGUUGGGAUCAUCAACAGAAGAUUUCUUCUCAUUCAGGCAGUUGGGAUCAUCAACAGAAGACUCCUUCUCAUUCAGGGAGUUGGGAUCAUCAACGGAAGAUUUCUUCUCAUUAAGGUAAUUGGGAUCAUCAACUGAAGAUUUCUUCUCAUUAAGGUAACUGGGAUCAUCAACGGAAGAUUUCUUCUCAUUAAGGUAAUUGGGAUCAUCAACUGAAGAUUUCUUCUCAUUAAGGUAACUGGGAUCAUCAACGGAAGAUUUCUUCUCAUUAAGGUAAUUGGGAUCAUCAACUGAAGAUUUCUUCUCAUUAAGGUAACUGGGAUCAUCAACGGAAGAUUUCUUCUCAUUAAGGUAAUUGGGAUCAACUGAACCUUCAUUGUUCAGCUCUCCAUGCUGAGGGCUUAAAUGCGCUGCAUCAUCAAUAGAUUCUUGAAUGUCAACAGCAUCAAGCAAUUGCCCAGCUGAUUGCGGCUGCAGCUUUUGACAAGUAGCUUCUGC
Molecule: long non-coding RNA, 708 nt
Filed under: Solanum tuberosum (potato)
Lineage: Eukaryota; Viridiplantae; Streptophyta; Magnoliopsida; Solanales; Solanaceae
Description: long non-coding RNA (STUB_LNC003035)
Source: RNAcentral